RNA transcript from Mercenaria mercenaria, 2358 nucleotides. It is a transcript of the gene named intermembrane lipid transfer protein VPS13B-like, with no coding region annotated. Lineage: Eukaryota; Metazoa; Mollusca; Bivalvia; Venerida; Veneridae. The transcript is spliced from 4 exons. The record is from RefSeq and is a predicted model, not a curated record.
AAACUGGGCUAAUGAAUAUGCCAUAAUCGUUAUUAAAACGGGAAAAAACUGAGCUCAGGUUUAAACCAAAUUAAUAGUAACUCUCAAGGGUACGGUGGGUGGGUUUAUGUUAUUUCAACUUGUAAUAAAUUGGUUGUGCGCGACAACGUGACAGUCACAUGACCUUUUAUACCAGUUUCUAUCCCAGGAAAUAUCGCGGGGAUAUCAAUAGAAACGAUCUAAGCGUCACCUGAAUUAUAUAUUUCUUCCGUAUAUAUGUUACCACCUUUCCAGAAAGAAAUUGUAACCAGAAUAAACUAGAUUAAUCAAGAAUAUUAAUCCUUAUUAUUUGCUUCUUAGUAACAUCCUUAACUUUUUGCCAUAUGUAUUUUUUUGCCAUUCCUCACCACAAACCCUUUGCGGCAGGGGAUACUUAUUCAUCAGAUUUGCUUGUUUUAUCCUGCUGUCAUCAUCCUUCAACUCAGUUACAGAAUAGCUGAAAUAAUGGUAAAACCUGCUUUUUGUGGAAUUUUCAUAUCUCUUAAGUGAUUCUUGCAACUGUGAUCAGUAUAACAAAUAAUUAGUAAAUACUUCAAUUUACAGAACAAAUCUCAACAAGCUACAGUAUUACAUCAUCUGUUUGGUCUGCAGAUAACAAGUCAGCGGUUUGACCUCCAGAUCACAUCAGCAGUGUACCCUCGUAAAUUGGAACAGCUUGUGAGCAAGAUAGCAGGUCCGUCUAACAACCUACUGCAUCACUGCCACUUACACACUCAGAUGAAGAUUGUGGAUCAAAGCAUGCUGUGAUAGAAAUGACGUUGUCAGGAUUUGAGAUGAAGACAUGUAGGAAUUAUAUGGUGACAGUGUGCUCAGCAACAGUCUCCUCUCUACACACACUUCAAUAUAGAUAAGAUGGACAGAAGAAGAGAGUUACACCAAUAUUUUCAUGUCCAUGUAACACAAAUGGUAUGCAUACAAUUGAUUGGUUGGUUGGAGAGAACUCUUCCAGGUUGGAGGAAGUUGAAAAUGACUGCCUAGUGUUUACUUACCAGUUACCUCGGAAAUAUGUUCAAGUUCAAGGCUUACUUCUUGAGAGCAGGCAGCUACAAAAUGGAAGGUCAACAAAACCAGUAUACUUGAAAAGCAAGAAAGAAACACCAGGAAAUAUGAAAAGACAGAAGAACAAGGGAACUUGAAUAAAAAAAACUUUUAAAGAUAGGAAUUCAGGUUAUACUUAGAAACUAAAUUUAUUUUGAGAACAGCAGUGAUUGACUAAGCUCUGUUACUGUAAGAGAUAAAGUGGUUUUGUUAUGCUCAUAAAACAUACAAAAGUUUCAUUAAUCUUAUUUUAGAUAAUUGUUUUCUGGUUUAUUUUACAAAGGUAGUCUACUAAUUAACAUAGUUAUAUUUAAAGAGAAUUCCGAUAAUUUUUUUCCUUUCAUAGAAUUUUUUUAAAUUCAUAUAUAUGAUAGGAAAAUGUGUGCUGAAAACAAUGAACAAAUAAAAAUAAUAGGUCACCAGGCUUGUUUUUGUGAAAAAUUGCUUUGAACACACCCACUGUUGCUGAAACUGCCAGCGAUUUUUGAACAUUUUCAUAAUUUUCUGCUUUUUUAUAAAUACCAACCAAAAUAUACAUCCAGGCAGCACAAUACGGUUUUUUUCUUAUUACAGAUUUUAUCAUAUACUUACUUGAUAUCAUAGUCAUAUUUGUAAUACUCUAUCCUUACAAUGAUGGGUACAAAUGAAAAAAAAAUAUUGUUUCAUAUUUACUUUUGUGAACUUUUUUCAAUGAAAAAUACCCAUAGUGAAGAAUAUUUUUUUAAAUUUUGAAAAAACUCUUUCAUAGAAUUUUUUUCCUUUUUUUCUUGUGUAUAGAUAAUUGUAUUGUGAGCAUAAAAAUGGCUAAAAAUGUAUGGGUCACCAGGCUAAAUUUUAUGUUAAGACCGCUAGAAUACAAACACCUGUUCGGACGGAAAUGGCGCGAACCUGCCCAAAUUUAUUACAUGUAUGUCUGCUAAAAGUUUAAAAAAAGUUUUAAAAAUUCUUAAUUCUUUCUAUAAUUGCAUACUAAAUAAUCUGAAAGGUGAUAUUGUCUUAUCAGUACUAAGUCAAUUAUCUUACAUAAUAUGAACAACACUGUCUUUAUACUAAAAUGCGAUGUGAAAACACAACCACAAAAAUAGCAAGAUACCUGUCAGGCAUGAUACUUGUCAAUACAACAUAAACCAGUAUCAACAUCUGAUUACUGAUAUAACUUAUCAAAAAUGUUAUUUCAUUCAAGAUUCCUCAUAUUUAAGAUUGUCUGUAAUAUGUUUCAACAAAUGUUGACUUCAGUUCAGUUUUCCAUAGAAAGUGUCGGCUGCGCAGAAAGAUGCGCAU